GCUCAGAACGAACGCUGGCGGCGUGCCUAACACAUGCAAGUCGAACGUGAUUAGAGAGCUUGCUCUCUAUGAAAGUGGCGCACGGGUGAGUAACGCGUAGAUAAUCUGCCUGAUGAUCGGGGAUAACACUUCGAAAGGGGUACUAAUACCGGAUAAGCCCACGGUGUCUUUGGACGCUGCGGGAAAAGGGGGGGACCUUCGGGCCUUCUGUCAUCAGAUGAGUCUGCGUACCAUUAGCUAGUUGGUAGGGUAAAGGCCUACCAAGGCGACGAUGGUUAGCUGGUCUGAGAGGAUGAUCAGCCACACUGGAACUGAGACACGGUCCAGACUCCUACGGGAGGCAGCAGUGGGGAAUUUUGCGCAAUGGGGGAAACCCUGACGCAGCAACGCCGCGUGAGUGAUGAAGGCUCUUGGGUCGUAAAGCUCUGACAGAGGGAAAGAAAUGUAUUGUGGCUAAUAUCCACGAUACUUGACGGUACCCUCAAAGGAAGCACCGGCUAACUCCGUGCCAGCAGCCGCGGUAAUACGGGGGGUGCAAGCGUUGUUCGGAUUUAUUGGGCGUAAAGCGCGUGUAGGCGGUUUUUUAAGUCUGAUGUGAAAGCCCUGGGCUCAACCCGGGAAGUGCAUUGGAUACUGGAAGACUUGAAUACGGGAGAGGGCAGUGGAAUUCCUAGUGUAGGAGUGAAAUCCGUAGAUAUUAGGAGGAACACCGGUGGCGAAGGCGGCUGCCUGGACCGAUAUUGACGCUGAGACGCGAAAGCGUGGGUAGCAAACAGGAUUAGAUACCCUGGUAGUCCACGCCGUAAACGAUGAGAACUAGGUGUUGCGGGUAUUGACCCCUGCAGUGCCGUAGCUAACGCAUUAAGUUCUCCGCCUGGGAA
RNAcentral lists this ribosomal RNA (881 nucleotides) under uncultured bacterium. Its description in RNAcentral is "bacterial SSU rRNA". It matches the Rfam family "Bacterial small subunit ribosomal RNA", at positions 22 to 879 of the family's 1533-position model. The record is from RNAcentral.